This 958-nucleotide long non-coding RNA is filed under the name Mus musculus (house mouse). RNAcentral's name for it is "predicted gene, 40660". The record is from RNAcentral. Lineage: Eukaryota; Metazoa; Chordata; Mammalia; Rodentia; Muridae.
UGCAUAACCAAUCCGGGUGUGAGACACGCCUCUCCUAGGCCUAUAUAAGUAGUACCAGUUCUGGGCUCGGGGUCUUUUCGCCUAUGCGGUCAAUGCUCUCCCAAUAAACACGUUGCAGAAGGAUCCUGUUGUGGCACCUCUCUUGCUGGCGAGUCGGGCGCUCACAAGUGGUGCUGAAACCCGAGAAAAGAAACAUCUUCAGGCACGAGCGAAGACCCCCUGUUAAAGGGAGGAUUCAGAACUGCAUCACAGGGAUUGAGCAGUUAAUGAAGUCUUCCCAUGAAGCAAUCUGUUGAGAAGGAUUCAACUGCGUGGAUUCAGAACUCUUCAGCUGGGGAACAGGGGUACAGGGCCCAGGCAACUCUGAAGGUGAAGAAGUGAAAUGAAAGUAAGAGCCAGAAAGAAUGAAGGACAUCAAAAGAACAAGGGCCUCUAAAUCAACAAAGCAAAGUUUAAAUAAACUCAAGAGACUAAAGCAUCUUGCACAGCGCUGGCCAAGAACUCUGGAGUGUAUAAAUGAGGUGGAGAGCAUCAGUAAUCCCACUCCUCUUCUGAGAUGAGAAGCCAAGGCAGACAGAAGAGGCCAGAAGCAUGAAACCGAAGAAGGGGAGACCCUGCCUCAAAGCAUGACCUUUGUUGUGAGCGCCCGACUCGCCAGCAAGAACGACCCCACAAUAGGAUCCUUCUGCACACGUUUAUUGGGAGAGCAUUGACUGCAUACCAAUACCUCAUUAAUAUGCGUCGGGCCAGGCAGUGACUCAGCAAAAAAAUCUUAUGCACAUGCACACAUUGGUUGUUUACCCAUAAUCAUGGGCAGUGGCCAGUGGUAGCCAGCGCCAUCUUGUAAUGGUGUUUGUGGCUUCCCACACUUUGUAAACACUGGCCUUAGACAAAUUAAGCAUCUAUUAUUGAUAAUGGAUGCUUAAUUUAAAGAAUAAUAAAAGGCUUUUUAAAAAUA